RNAcentral lists this ribosomal RNA (763 nucleotides) under uncultured Streptococcus sp. Its description in RNAcentral is "bacterial SSU rRNA". It matches the Rfam family "Bacterial small subunit ribosomal RNA", at positions 28 to 776 of the family's 1533-position model. The record is from RNAcentral. Lineage: Bacteria; Bacillati; Bacillota; Bacilli; Lactobacillales; Streptococcaceae.
GACGAACGCUGGCGGCGUGCCUAAUACAUGCAAGUAGAAUGCUGAAGGAGGAGCUUGCUUCUCCGGAUGAGUUGCGAACGGGUGAGUAACGCGUAGGUAACCUGCCUGGUAGCGGGGGAUAACUAUUGGAAACGAUAGCUAAUACCGCAUAAGAGUAGAUGUUGCAUGACAUUUGCUUAAAAGGUGCAAUUGCAUCACUACCAGAUGGACCUGCGUUGUAUUAGCUAGUUGGUGGGGUAACGGCUCACCAAGGCGACGAUACAUAGCCGACCUGAGAGGGUGAUCGGCCACACUGGGACUGAGACACGGCCCAGACUCCUACGGGAGGCAGCAGUAGGGAAUCUUCGGCAAUGGACGGAAGUCUGACCGAGCAACGCCGCGUGAGUGAAGAAGGUUUUCGGAUCGUAAAGCUCUGUUGUAAGAGAAGAACGAGUGUGAGAGUGGAAAGUUCACACUGUGACGGUAUCUUACCAGAAAGGGACGGCUAACUACGUGCCAGCAGCCGCGGUAAUACGUAGGUCCCGAGCGUUGUCCGGAUUUAUUGGGCGUAAAGCGAGCGCAGGCGGUUAGAUAAGUCUGAAGUUAAAGGCUGUGGCUUAACCAUAGUACGCUUUGGAAACUGUUUAACUUGAGUGCAAGAGGGGAGAGUGGAAUUCCAUGUGUAGCGGUGAAAUGCGUAGAUAUAUGGAGGAACACCGGUGGUGAAAGCGGCUCUCUGGCUUGUAACUGACCAUGAGGCUCGAAAGCGUGGGGAGCAAACAGG